UACGUAGGGAGCAAGCGUUGUCCGGAUUUACUGGGUGUAAAGGGUGCGUAGGCGGCCCUGCAAGUCAGAAGUGAAAUCCAUGGGCUUAACCCGUGAACUGCUUUUGAAACUGUAGGGCUUGAGUGAAGUAGAGGCAGGCGGAAUUCCCGGUGUAGCGGUGAAAUGCGUAGAGAUCGGGAGGAACACCAGUGGCGAAGGCGGCCUGCUGGGCUUUAACUGACGCUGAAGCACGAAAGCGUGGGGAGCAAACAGG
This 253-nucleotide ribosomal RNA is filed under the name uncultured bacterium. RNAcentral describes it as "partial 16S ribosomal RNA". It matches the Rfam family "Bacterial small subunit ribosomal RNA", at positions 524 to 776 of the family's 1533-position model. The record is from RNAcentral.